RNAcentral lists this ribosomal RNA (491 nucleotides) under uncultured bacterium. Its description in RNAcentral is "partial 16S ribosomal RNA". It matches the Rfam family "Bacterial small subunit ribosomal RNA", at positions 29 to 507 of the family's 1533-position model. The record is from RNAcentral.
AGUGAACGCUGGCGGUAGGCCUAACACAUGCAAGUCGAACGGCAGCACAGUAAGAGCUUGCUCUUACGGGUGGCGAGUGGCGGACGGGUGAGGAAUACAUCGGAAUCUACUUUUUCGUGGGGGAUAACGUAGGGAAACUUACGCUAAUACCGCAUACGACCUACGGGUGAAAGCAGGGGAUCUUCGGACCUUGCGCGAUCCAUUGAGCCGAUGUCGGAUUAGCUAGUUGGCGGGGUAAGGCCCACCAAGGCGACGAUCCGUAGCUGGUCUGAGAGGAAGAACAGCCACACUGGAACUGAGACACGGUCCAGACUCCUACGGGAGGCAGCAGUGGGGAAUAUUGGACCAUGGGCGCAAGCCUGAUCCAGCCAUACCGCGUGGGUGAAGAAGGCCUUCGGGUUGUAAAGCCCUUUUGUUGGGAAAGACAAGCAGCAGGUUAAUACCCCGCUGUUCUGACGGUACCCAAAGAAUAAGCACCGGCUAACUUCUUG